UAGCAAAAAUAUGGUUCAUUAUGCUCUAAACACAAUUGUGUGAAAGAUGAAAAUUUUUGGUCAAAAUCUUAGGCUCACCCAAGUCCAUCAUAGUUCAAGUGCAAAAAUUUUUUUUCUUA
This is a long non-coding RNA of Rhagoletis zephyria (snowberry fruit fly), 119 nucleotides long. RefSeq lists it as uncharacterized. The record is from RefSeq and is a predicted model, not a curated record. Lineage: Eukaryota; Metazoa; Arthropoda; Insecta; Diptera; Tephritidae.